This is a long non-coding RNA of Megachile rotundata (alfalfa leafcutting bee), 1431 nucleotides long. The record is from RefSeq and is a predicted model, not a curated record. Lineage: Eukaryota; Metazoa; Arthropoda; Insecta; Hymenoptera; Megachilidae.
AAAAAUUUGUUGAAUGCAUCGACACCGUUCGAAUUUUUGUCUUUGAGUGAAAAUGAAGAUUUUCAAAGUGCCGCCUUUUGCGUAAAUCGAGUGACAGUUGAUAGGCAGCCAUUAUGGAGGGAAAACAGUUGAAGAUGCGUGGUGAUUAAUUAAGAGGAGGAGGGCAGUUUUCCAUAGGAUACGAUUUCCGGAGAUUUUCCUUCUUUCAUCCCCGUAUCCAAGAGGGUGGAGCAAAAACGAGCGUCCAGAGGGUAAUCGGGCGAAGGAAUCCCGAGGUAUCUUGUAUUUUAUGGCGAAAAUUCGCGACGCUUCCGCAAAUAAAAAAGAGGGAACUACUGUCAAAUGCGUUGCGAUGCGGUUUUAUGACGGUGAAUGAGAAAAGUUGAGGGGCCUCAGUGUGCAUCAUCUUCUUGUACCUGCAUCUUUGUCGUCAAGGUCGUUCCUUUUCCCAAAAAUCGACUUUCCAAUCGGCUACUGAACGUUCUAUUACCUGACGUUAUUCUUCUUCAGGUAAGUCGGGCAUAAAUCAUCGUCUCAUCGACGAUUAGUAUUUAUCAUAACUUUCUCCUGGGUGCAUCUUCCAUCUAACUUUUCUCUUUCCUUCUUAUAUCAACAUUCUAUCAUCUUAUAAGCUUCUAUAACCUUAUAUCAAUAUUCUAAUGAUUCUCAAUUUUCAGAUGAGGUGCUUGAAUAUUUUUAGCAGUAAGCUUCAACAUUUUCAUCUUAGAGGAGCUCAGAAGGAAGGUGAUAGUCUACUGUAGCAGCUGAUUAUACUUAUUCUAAAUUUAUUAUAAAAUUAUACUUUAUCGUAUCAUAAUCUUAGGACUUGUAUCUUAGGAAUAAUCUGAGGAAUCGAUCAGAUAAAUAUGUAGGCAUCCAUAUUUCUGCGAGAAACUUUCUACAGCUCAUGGAAGUAUGAUCGGCAAUAAUGCACAGUACGAUCGUGUUGAAACGGUGACCGUGACGAAAGUCGAUUUCCCAGCACGGUACAAUUUCCAGCAGCCUCCUCGGCUUUGCAAGAGCCACCCGCAAUCUUUGUCGGCAAACAGGGGCUCGUAAAUUACGGUACGAACGUCUCAAUGUUGGCAGGACCCUAGCUUCCCAUUGUCUACGGGGCACCAACGUGUUAGACACGCACCCUGAAUUCGAGUUAACCGAAACAGCUCUUUCAAAUGGCUGACUAGGCCAAUGGAAACACAUUUUCUAUAUCAAACGUGUCACAUUUGUAUCUUUGAUCUUAAACGUUGCUAUGUAUCAUUCAUUAUAUCAUUCUUUUAUCAAACGUUUAGUAGUAAACUUCUAUAAGUAAACUCUUUUAUUAAUGAGCAAGCUAUAUGCUCAUUGUUGAAAUUAUUAGCAAGAGAACUUUCUAAAUGUAUUUAAGUAAAUGUAUGUAUAUAUGUAUGUAUGUAUGUACACAUUUAUAUGUAU